RNAcentral lists this long non-coding RNA (875 nucleotides) under Aplysia californica (California sea hare). RNAcentral describes it as "uncharacterized LOC118478919, transcript variant X1". Lineage: Eukaryota; Metazoa; Mollusca; Gastropoda; Aplysiida; Aplysiidae. The record is from RNAcentral.
ACUACAAAUCACUGUUCGUUUUGUCGUGUCGUACGUCCUUAACCUGGUCUUACCCCUGGAAGCUUUGUGCACGCUAUACUUACGACAGACCAAACUGAAAACAAAAGUACACCAUGUACAGCCAGAACAAAUGAAGCUGUUCCUCGCCACCACAGAUUCUACUUUGGAAAGCCAGAUUUUGUGAUCCAGAGCAAAGAGGGAGCUUACAAAAGGCUUUGGUUUUCGUUUAAGACAGAGUGCAAAGAGAUGAUGACUACCAGAAAGAAGUGGAAACUGAACAAGCAUGUGGUGAGCAGAAACAGAACAGCACCACCAAACAGCCCUGCGUCAGACUCCUGCCUGUUCACACAAGAUAAAGAGAGGGUGACACAAAAACACCCCCAUGGAAAGAAAGCUUACGACUGAUGACACAUCUGACUGCUCUCCCACUAGCUUACCCAGAGUUGGAGGAAGCAAGAAGAGACAGUCUUCAUCUCUGCCCAAUAUAUGCAAAACAGCAUAGAAAGCAAAGGCCCUAAACUGGGGCGACGGAGCAUCAGUCUUCCAUCCUCGUCACGGACUCGAUGAGUGCACUGGAAAAAGUGGAGAAGCACAUGGUGUAAGCUGACUGGCAAGAGGCAAUACGAAAAGAAUGCUUGUGUACCCUCAUCGCUUGAAGGUCACGUCAAGCGAAGCCAUAGAAGGGUCGUUGUCCUUUUCUGAGAGUCGGCCUGUGAGACAAGAAAGCUUGCCCAUCACUCACCAGUAGAGAGAUCAGAGCCAGCACAGAGAUGUAUUGUGUUAUUGUUAAGGGAUGUCACAUACACAUGUAUCUCUGAAAUAUUCGUAUUUGUUGUCUAAUAAAUAACACAGACGUAAUCUGACGGCAUCAACAA